RNAcentral lists this ribosomal RNA (253 nucleotides) under uncultured bacterium. RNAcentral describes it as "partial 16S ribosomal RNA". It matches the Rfam family "Bacterial small subunit ribosomal RNA", at positions 524 to 776 of the family's 1533-position model. The record is from RNAcentral.
UACAGAGGGUGCGAACGUUGCUCGGAAUUACUGGGCGUAAAGCGCGUGUAGGCGGAUGGGUAAGUCAGAUGUGAAAUCCCCGAGCUCAACUCGGGAACUGCAUUUGAAACUGCUCGUCUGGAGUACCGGAGAGGGUGGCGGAAUUCCUGGUGUAGAGGUGAAAUUCGUAGAGAUCAGGAGGAACACCGGUGGCGAAGGCGGCCACCUGGACGGUUACUGACGAUGAGACGCGAAAGCGUGGGGAGCAAACAGG